RNAcentral lists this ribosomal RNA (1461 nucleotides) under Salmonella enterica subsp. enterica serovar Agona. RNAcentral describes it as "bacterial SSU rRNA". It matches the Rfam family "Bacterial small subunit ribosomal RNA". The record is from RNAcentral. Lineage: Bacteria; Pseudomonadati; Pseudomonadota; Gammaproteobacteria; Enterobacterales; Enterobacteriaceae.
GCUGACGAGUGGCGGACGGGUGAGUAAUGUCUGGGAAACUGCCUGAUGGAGGGGGAUAACUACUGGAAACGGUGGCUAAUACCGCAUAACGUCGCAAGACCAAAGAGGGGGACCUUCGGGCCUCUUGCCAUCAGAUGUGCCCAGAUGGGAUUAGCUUGUUGGUGAGGUAACGGCUCACCAAGGCGACGAUCCCUAGCUGGUCUGAGAGGAUGACCAGCCACACUGGAACUGAGACACGGUCCAGACUCCUACGGGAGGCAGCAGUGGGGAAUAUUGCACAAUGGGCGCAAGCCUGAUGCAGCCAUGCCGCGUGUAUGAAGAAGGCCUUCGGGUUGUAAAGUACUUUCAGCGGGGAGGAAGGUGUUGUGGUUAAUAACCGCAGCAAUUGACGUUACCCGCAGAAGAAGCACCGGCUAACUCCGUGCCAGCAGCCGCGGUAAUACGGAGGGUGCAAGCGUUAAUCGGAAUUACUGGGCGUAAAGCGCACGCAGGCGGUCUGUCAAGUCGGAUGUGAAAUCCCCGGGCUCAACCUGGGAACUGCAUUCGAAACUGGCAGGCUUGAGUCUUGUAGAGGGGGGUAGAAUUCCAGGUGUAGCGGUGAAAUGCGUAGAGAUCUGGAGGAAUACCGGUGGCGAAGGCGGCCCCCUGGACAAAGACUGACGCUCAGGUGCGAAAGCGUGGGGAGCAAACAGGAUUAGAUACCCUGGUAGUCCACGCCGUAAACGAUGUCUACUUGGAGGUUGUGCCCUUGAGGCGUGGCUUCCGGAGCUAACGCGUUAAGUAGACCGCCUGGGGAGUACGGCCGCAAGGUUAAAACUCAAAUGAAUUGACGGGGGCCCGCACAAGCGGUGGAGCAUGUGGUUUAAUUCGAUGCAACGCGAAGAACCUUACCUGGUCUUGACAUCCACGGAAGUUUUCAGAGAUGAGAAUGUGCCUUCGGGAACCGUGAGACAGGUGCUGCAUGGCUGUCGUCAGCUCGUGUUGUGAAAUGUUGGGUUAAGUCCCGCAACGAGCGCAACCCUUAUCCUUUGUUGCCAGCGAUUCGGUCGGGAACUCAAAGGAGACUGCCAGUGAUAAACUGGAGGAAGGUGGGGAUGACGUCAAGUCAUCAUGGCCCUUACGACCAGGGCUACACACGUGCUACAAUGGCGCAUACAAAGAGAAGCGACCUCGCGAGAGCAAGCGGACCUCAUAAAGUGCGUCGUAGUCCGGAUUGGAGUCUGCAACUCGACUCCAUGAAGUCGGAAUCGCUAGUAAUCGUGGAUCAGAAUGCCACGGUGAAUACGUUCCCGGGCCUUGUACACACCGCCCGUCACACCAUGGGAGUGGGUUGCAAAAGAAGUAGGUAGCUUAACCUUCGGGAGGGCGCUUACCACUUUGUGAUUCAUGACUGGGGUGAAGUCGUAACAAGGUAACCGUAGGGGAACCUGCGGUUGGAUCACCUCCUUACCUUAAAGAAGC